This 931-nucleotide ribosomal RNA is filed under the name uncultured Rubrobacteraceae bacterium. RNAcentral describes it as "bacterial SSU rRNA". It matches the Rfam family "Bacterial small subunit ribosomal RNA", at positions 56 to 972 of the family's 1533-position model. The record is from RNAcentral. Lineage: Bacteria; Bacillati; Actinomycetota; Rubrobacteria; Rubrobacterales; Rubrobacteraceae.
UGCAAGUGGAGCGACGAACCGGGGCUUGCCCCGGGGCAGAGCCGCGAACGGGUGAGUAACACGUGGGUAACCCACCCCGAUGAUUGGGACAACCCGGGGAAACUCGGGCUAAUACCAAAUGUGCUCGUAGACCAUGAGGUCCAUGAGUAGAGAUAGCUUCGGCCUUCGCAUCGGGACGGGCCCGCGGCCCAUUAGCUUGUUGGUGAGGUAACGGCUCACCAAGGCGACGAUGGGUAGCUGGUCUGAGAGGACGAUCAGCCACACUGGGACUGAGACACGGCCCAGACUCCUACGGGAGGCAGCAGUGGGGAAUCUUGCGCAAUGCGCGAAAGCGUGACGCAGCAACGCCGCGUGGAGGAAGACGGUCUUCGGAUUGUAAACUCCUUUCAGUUGGGACGAAGCUCAACGGGUCAAUAGCCCGGCGGAGUGACGGUACCUUCAGAAGAAGCCCCGGCUAACUACGUGCCAGCAGCCGCGGUAAUACGUAGGGGGCUAGCGUUGUCCGGAAUCAUUGGGCGUAAAGCGCGUGUAGGCGGUCCGGUAAGUCCGCUGUGAAAGUCGAGGGCUCAACCCUCGAAUGCCGGUGGAUACUGUCGGGCUAGAGUGCGGAAGAGGCGAGUGGAAUUCCUGGUGUAGCGGUGAAAUGCGCAGAUAUCAGGAGGAACACCAAUUGCGAAGGCAGCUCGCUGGGACGUUACUGACGCUGAGACGCGAAAGCGUGGGGAGCAAACAGGAUUAGAUACCCUGGUAGUCCACGCUGUAAACGAUGGGCACUAGGUGUGGGGGGUGUCGACUCCCUCCGUGCCGAAGCUAACGCAUUAAGUGCCCCGCCUGGGGAGUACGGCCGCAAGGCUAAAACUCAAAGGAAUUGACGGGGACCCGCACAAGCAGCGGAGCAUGUGGUUUAAUUCGACGCAACGCGAAGAACCUU